This 244-nucleotide ribosomal RNA is filed under the name uncultured bacterium. Its description in RNAcentral is "partial 16S ribosomal RNA". It matches the Rfam family "Bacterial small subunit ribosomal RNA", at positions 118 to 346 of the family's 1533-position model. The record is from RNAcentral.
UAGGUAAUUUACCUUCCGGCGGGGGACAACAGUCCGAAAGGAUUGCUAAUACCGCAUACGUCGGCGAGGUCUCCGGACCUUGUCGGGAAAGAUGGCCUCUCCUUGGAAGCUGUCACCGGAAGAUGAACCUGCGGCCCAUCAGCUUGUUGGUGAGGUAACGGCUCACCAAGGCUAAGACGGGUAGCUGGUCUGAGAGGAUGAUCAGCCACACUGGGACUGCGACACGGCCCAGAUCCGUACGGGG